RNAcentral lists this ribosomal RNA (231 nucleotides) under uncultured bacterium. RNAcentral describes it as "partial 16S ribosomal RNA". It matches the Rfam family "Bacterial small subunit ribosomal RNA", at positions 103 to 334 of the family's 1533-position model. The record is from RNAcentral.
CGGGUGAGUAACGCGUGGGUAACCUGCCUUAUACAGGGGGAUAACAGUCAGAAAUGGCUGCUAAUACCGCAUAAGCGCACAGAGCUGCAUGGCUCAGUGUGAAAAACUCCGGUGGUAUAAGAUGGACCCGCGUUGGAUUAGCUAGUUGGUGGGGUAACGGCCCACCAAAGCGACGAUCAGUAGCCGGCCUGAGAGGGUGAACGGCCACAUUGGGACUGAGACACGGCCCAA